RNAcentral lists this ribosomal RNA (500 nucleotides) under uncultured bacterium. RNAcentral describes it as "partial 16S ribosomal RNA". It matches the Rfam family "Bacterial small subunit ribosomal RNA", at positions 899 to 1397 of the family's 1533-position model. The record is from RNAcentral.
ACUCAAAUGAAUAGACGGGGGCCCGCACAAGCGGUGGAGCAUGUGGUUCAAUUCGACGCAACGCGAAGAACCUUACCGGGGCUCGAACGGUAACUGCAACUCCUGGAAACAGGGGGUCCUCUUCGGAGGCGGUUAUCGAGGUGCUGCAUGGCUGUCGUCAGCUCGUGUCGUGAGAUGUUGGGUUAAGUCCCGCAACGAGCGCAACCCUUGCCCUUAGUUGCUACCAGGUUAAGCUGAGCACCCUAAGGGAACUGUCGGCGAAAAGCCGGAGGAAGGUGGGGAUGACGUCAAGUCCUCAUGGCCCUUACGUCCCGGGCUACACACGUGCUACAAUGGUCGGUACAAAGGGUUGCCAACCCGCGAGGGGGAGCUAAUCCCAAAAAGCCGAUCUCAGUUCGGAUUGCAGUCUGCAACUCGACUGCAUGAAGGCGGAAUCGCUAGUAAUCGCAGAUCAGCACGCUGCGGUGAAUACGUUCCCGGGCCUUGUACACACCGCCCGU